UACAGAGGUCUCAAGCGUUGUUCGGAUUCAUUGGGCGUAAAGGGUGCGUAGGCGGCGCGGUAAGUCGGGUGUGAAAUCCCUCGGCCCAACCGAGGAACUGCGCCCGAGACUGCUUCUCUUGAGUCCCGGAGAGGAAGGUGGAAUUCCCGGUGUAGCGGUGAAAUGUGUAGAGAUCGGGAGGAACACCGGUGGCGAAGGCGGCCUUCUGGACGGUGACUGACGCUGAGGCGCGAAAGCGUGGGGAGCAAACGGG
Molecule: ribosomal RNA, 253 nt
Filed under: uncultured bacterium
Lineage: Bacteria
Description: partial 16S ribosomal RNA
Rfam family: Bacterial small subunit ribosomal RNA
Source: RNAcentral